RNAcentral lists this ribosomal RNA (498 nucleotides) under uncultured bacterium. RNAcentral describes it as "bacterial SSU rRNA". It matches the Rfam family "Bacterial small subunit ribosomal RNA", at positions 66 to 543 of the family's 1533-position model. The record is from RNAcentral.
ACGCGAAAGGGGCUUCGGCCCUGAGUAGAGUGGCAAACGGGUGAGUAACACGUGGGUGACCUGCCUUCGAGUGGGGGAUAACGUCCCGAAAGGGACGCUAAUACCGCAUGACAUCCUGCUCUUGGACGAGCGGAAAUCAAAGCUGGGGAUCGCAAGACCUGGCGCUUGAAGAGGGGCCCGCGCCUGAUUAGCUAGUUGGUGGGGUAAUGGCCUACCAAGGCGACGAUCAGUAUCCGGCCUGAGAGGGCGGACGGACACACUGGGACUGAGACACGGCCCAGACUCCUACGGGAGGCAGCAGUGGGGAAUUGUUCGCAAUGGGCGCAAGCCUGACGACGCAACGCCGCGUGGAGGAUGAAGAUCUUCGGGUCGUAAACUCCUGUCGAGCGGGACGAACACCUGCCGGUUUAACACGCCGGUAGGCUGACGGUACCGCUAAAGGAAGCCCCGGCUAACUCCGUGCCAGCAGCCGCGGUAAUACGGGGGGGGCAAGCGUUG